RNAcentral lists this long non-coding RNA (2469 nucleotides) under Coffea arabica (coffee). RNAcentral's name for it is "long non-coding RNA (CARA_LNC001372)". The record is from RNAcentral. Lineage: Eukaryota; Viridiplantae; Streptophyta; Magnoliopsida; Gentianales; Rubiaceae.
UUAGCCUGUAACUUCAAGAAAUCCGAUGAAAAGAAACUCUGCUUACAUAUCACCUUUAGUGGGAUGAAUUGCAUUUGACCAAAAAAGGAGGAGGAUUAUUCAUAUAAGCCACAAUUCUAUCCUCUCAAUACAUCAGUAGCAAAAGGAAUGGAAACUCUUGGUACAAAAUAACUCACCAAGUUGUACAAGAUUUCAAAUCAAACAAAAAUAUCAUGAUAACACCAUCCACGUGAGAUAUAAAGCAUCGAGAGCUGAUAUACAUUUAUAGUAGGUAAUACAGUGAUCACAUAGCUACUGUUAGUAUCCAAGGUCAUACGUUUCCAGGCUUUGAUCUUGAUAAUGCUUCAAGGGUGGCCGAUUCUGCUUCCUACAUAACUAAACACGUAGUUUUGUUAAUCAAAUGGCAGAAGCAUUCUUGAGUGGUACUGCAAAAAUUCACUUUAUACGGUUAAAUAUUAGCAGCAAUUAACAUAUUUUCCAAAAGUAUAUCAUAGUUUUUUUUCUUUUAUCAUUAGCCUUGCCAUUUUAAGCUAACUUUUUUCACUUACAGGAACAUCAACAUCUGUGUCUAUCUAUGCACCUAUAUGCCAGACAAGCUUUUUUCCAUAUAAUUAUCCCUGAAGGCAAAAGUAUGGGGCAAAGGUUUUUGUACAAUUCAUAGGUUGGGGCAUACUGCACCAGUGUAGCCAAAUAAUAAAUGAACAAUCUUCAACUACAAUAUAAAACAUGCAAUAACUACAAAUACACAAUUUUCCAUUACAUUAUUAUAUACACAAUACAGACACUGUUGUAAAAAAAAUUUCCAUUCAUAGAGAUAGUUAUAUUAAAACGAAAGGUGAAAUAAAAAAGGUUACAAUGAGCACUUUAAAAGUAGUAGAAGGCCAUUAUUUGCUUUAUUAUAUGUCGAUAAAUUUAAUACCUAAUUCCAUCAUGAAGAGCCCGGUGUCCAUCUAAUUUAAUGCUAAAUAAGGACACAAAGAAACCGUUUGCAAGUUAAAUAGCAGAAAAGAUAAUCAAUAGAAACUUAAUCGUUUUCUCUUAAUCAACAGAGAUAUCUACUAAUUAUUAGUAUACAAGCACAUCCAUUUGACUAAGAUAUUUUGCUAAAUAAAGUGUAACAGCUGUCCAAAGCUGAACUAUGCUAAAAGCCCAAAGCUUGGGCUUAGACUGACUGGUACAAAACAAAGCAUUACCCCUAUAAAAUUCAACCCAAAAAGUGAACAACAAUAAAUAUGAGCAAAAAUAAAUUGUUCAUAUGCAAAAUGGAAACAAAUAGAAAAAAAGAAGGUUAUAAAAUGUUACACAGAAAUAAUUACCAAGUUUUUAGCCAAAGACAUUGUGCUAAAAUUUGAACAACCCCAUGAAUCCAAAACAACCAAAAAAUACACCAAGCAAUUUUCCCAUACAUAAUAGAAAAUCACAUAAGUUUGUACAGGUGCUGUGGAAGGCCAUGGAAAAAAGGACAAAUAAGUAACAGGAGAACUAUUAAAAAUGCGUGUAAAAAAAUAGUGAAAAAACUGAGAUCUGUAAGAAUGAAACUGAAAGAAGCAAAAUCACAUACAAUUUUUUUUGAUAAUGAUCUUCUCUUGACAGCCUCGGUCUCCCAAGAAAGCAUGGACAGAAAAUCAGAUUUCCUUGUUUUUGGAUUUAAUUCUUCCAACCAUACUCCUUGUUUUGGAGAGCGAGAAGGGAACGGCGAGAGAAGAGACAUCAACCCUUUGGGAUUUGAAGGAGAUGAUGUCGAGAUAGGGUUUCUGGAACUACUACGUGGGUUCAAAAAACUUUAUAAAAUUUGUUAGUAAAUCCUUUUUAAUGUUUUUUGGGCAAGAGCAAAAUCAAGAUACAAUUUCUUAUAAAGGCAUUAGAUCGGGGGAAAAGUUCCAAGAAACUUUCUCAAAUUUAUUAAAUCCUUUUUAAUGCUUUUUGGCCAACAGCAAAAUCAAGAUACAAAUAUGUCAAGAAAAUGGAGAAUACAAGGCAAAAGAAAGGGGAAAAAAAGAGCAAAGCUAACCACGUGUUUUAGAACCCAAUUUAAAAAAAGGAAAAAAAUCUCAGAGUCUCACAAGAAUGCUGAAAAAGAUUCGAAAAUUUUCACCUGCAAUAUCAAAAAUAUAUACCAAUUAGAUUAGACAACUAAAGCUAAAAAGAAACACAAAAGGCUAGAGAAAUUCAGGGAGGGAAAGGAAAAAAAUUACCAUCUGUUUCGGUCCUGAUGGUGCCGGUUAUGGAGAAGAAAAGAGAUAGAAGGGCUUUGGGGCCGUUUAGGAAAAUGAAGAAGAAAACAGAGAGAUGGGCUUAGAGAGAGAGGAGAAUGGUGAUGAACAAGGAAAAGAAAUGGGAGAGCAGGUGACCUUCUUCAAUCAAUCACAUCUGCGUUUAAAAAGAAUGAAAAGUAAAUGAAAUGGGAACAUAAGAAAGGCUUGGACAAACACUCUCCAACCAAUCACAUGUUGCGGCGUCAGCUACACA